AUUAGCGGAUGACCUGUGGCUGGGGGUGAAAGGCCAAUCAAACCGGGAGAUAGCUGGUUCUCCCCGAAAGCUAUUUAGGUAGCGCCUCGUGAAUUCAUCUCCGGGGGUAGAGCACUGUUUCGGCUAGGGGGCCAUCCCGGCUUACCAACCCGAUGCAAACUGCGAAUACCGGAGAAUGUUAUCACGGGAGACACACGGCGGGUGCUAACGUCCGUCGUGAAGAGGGAAACAACCCAGACCGCCAGCUAAGGUCCCAAAGUCAUGGUUAAGUGGGAAACGAUGUGGGAAGGCCCAGACAGCCAGGAUGUUGGCUUAGAAGCAGCCAUCAUUUAAAGAAAGCGUAAUAGCUCACUGGUCGAGUCGGCCUGCGCGGAAGAUGUAACGGGGCUAAACCAUG
This 397-nucleotide ribosomal RNA is filed under the name Salmonella enterica subsp. enterica serovar Kentucky. Its description in RNAcentral is "partial 23S ribosomal RNA". It matches the Rfam family "Bacterial large subunit ribosomal RNA", at positions 796 to 1191 of the family's 2925-position model. Lineage: Bacteria; Pseudomonadati; Pseudomonadota; Gammaproteobacteria; Enterobacterales; Enterobacteriaceae. The record is from RNAcentral.